AGCGAACGCUGGCGGCAGGCCUAACACAUGCAAGUCGAACGAACCUUUCGGGGUUAGUGGCGGACGGGUGAGUAACACGUGGGAACGUGCCUUUAGGUUCGGAAUAACUCAGGGAAACUUGUGCUAAUACCGAAUGUGCCCUUCGGGGGAAAGAUCUAUCGCCUUUAGAGCGGCCCGCGUCUGAUUAGCUAGUUGGUUGAGGUAAUGGCUCACCAAGGCGACUAUCAGUAGCUGGUCUGAGAGGAUGAUCAGCCACAUUGGGACUGAGACACGGACCAAACUCCUACGGGAGGCAGCAGUGGGGAAUCUUGCGCAAUGGGCGAAAGCCUGACGCAGCCAUGCCGCGUGAAUGAUGAAGGUCUUAGGAUUGUAAAAUUCUUUCACCGGGGACGAUAAUGACGGUACCCGGAGAAGAAGCCCCGGCUAACUUCGUG
RNAcentral lists this ribosomal RNA (434 nucleotides) under uncultured bacterium. Its description in RNAcentral is "partial 16S ribosomal RNA". It matches the Rfam family "Bacterial small subunit ribosomal RNA", at positions 29 to 507 of the family's 1533-position model. The record is from RNAcentral.